RNAcentral lists this ribosomal RNA (305 nucleotides) under uncultured bacterium. RNAcentral's name for it is "bacterial SSU rRNA". It matches the Rfam family "Bacterial small subunit ribosomal RNA", at positions 334 to 641 of the family's 1533-position model. The record is from RNAcentral.
GACGCCUACGGGGCGCAGCAGUGGGGAAUAUUGCACAAUGGGGGAAACCCUGAUGCAGCGACGCCGCGUGAGUGAAGAAGUAUCUCGGUACGUAAAGCUCUAUCAGCAGGGAAGAAAAAAAGUCUUUGGCUUUGGACGGUACCUGACUAAGAAGCCCCGGCUAACUACGUGCCAGCAGCCGCGGUAAUACGUAGGGGGCAAGCGUUAUCCGGAUUUACUGGGUGUAAAGGGGGCGCAGACGGCAAUGCAAGCCAGGAGUGAAAGCCCGGGGCCCAACCCCGGGACUGCUCUUGGAGCUGCAUGGC